CCUACGGGAGGCAGCAGUGGGGAAUAUUGGACAAUGGGGGGAACCCUGAUCCAGCCAUGCCGCGUGUGUGAAGAAGGCCCUCGGGUUGUAAAGCACUUUCAGUGAGGAAGAACGCCUGGUGGUUAAUACCCAUCAGGAAAGACAUCACUCACAGAAGAAGCACCGGCUAACUCCGUGCCAGCAGCCGCGGUAAUACGGAGGGUGCGAGCGUUAAUCGGAAUUACUGGGCGUAAAGCGCGCGUAGGUGGCUUGAUAAGCCGGUUGUGAAAGCCCCGGGCUCAACCUGGGAACGGCAUCCGGACCUGUCAAGCUAGAGUGCAGGAGAGGAAGGUAGAAUUCCCGGUGUAGCGGUGAAAUGCGUAGAGAUCGGGAGGAAUACCAGUGGCGAAGGCGGCCUUCUGGACUGACACUGACACUGAGGUGCGAAAGCGUGGGUAGCAAACAGGAUUAGAUACCCUAGUAGUC
RNAcentral lists this ribosomal RNA (465 nucleotides) under Vreelandella stevensii. RNAcentral's name for it is "partial 16S ribosomal RNA". It matches the Rfam family "Bacterial small subunit ribosomal RNA", at positions 338 to 795 of the family's 1533-position model. The record is from RNAcentral. Lineage: Bacteria; Pseudomonadati; Pseudomonadota; Gammaproteobacteria; Oceanospirillales; Halomonadaceae.